Long non-coding RNA from Homo sapiens (human), 475 nucleotides. NCBI's taxonomy places the organism in Eukaryota, Metazoa, Chordata, Mammalia, Primates, Hominidae. The record is from Ensembl.
UUGAGUGUCAACUUGAUUGGACUGAAGGAUGAAGUACUGUUCCUUGGUGUGUCUGUGAGGAGCAUGUUGAUUUGGCAAAGAACAGUUUGGCUUUGAAGAGGGAGCACCAUUUUGCCUGUUUCUCAUGUGUGAGCAGACGGACUCAGAAAGCACUGGUUCCAAUCCAGAUUUGCUGUUAAGCACAGCGCCCUCCACAACCAUCCAUGAAGUGGAGCAGAAGAACUUCCGCCUUUCAGAGCAAGCCUCCUGGGAUUCAUUGAUUUUGUAAUUCCUUGCCUCUAUUUGUGUUAUAAUACAUUGAAACCAAAGCUAGCAUUUCAAAAAUCAGGACCAAGUAUUUUAGUUACUCGGGACCAAGAACAUAAAGUUCCUGUGAAUGAAAUUAACAUAAGGACAGAGCCGUUCGACCAAGAAAAAGAAAAGUCCAGGAGAUUAAAGAUACAAUUCAGAUGAACUGUUACAAGGUAACUCCAUG